CUACGUUAGCUGCGCCACUGAAAAACAUUGUUUCCCAACAGCUAGUUGACAUCGUUUACGGCGUGGACUACCAGGGUAUCUAAUCCUGUUCGCUACCCACGCUUUCGCACCUUAGUGUCAGUACAGAUCCAGGAGGCUGCCUUCGCCAUUGGUAUUCUUCACAAUAUCUACGCAUUCCACCGCUACACUGUGAAUUCUACCUCCCUCUAUCGUACUCUAGUGAAUCAGUUUUGGAUGCAGUUCCCAGGUUGAGCCCGGGGAUUUCACAUCCAACUUAAUAAACCACCUACGCGCGCUUUACGCCCAGUAAUUCCGAUUAACGCUUGGACCUUCCGUAUUACCGCGGCUGCUGGCACGGAAUUAGCCGGUCCUUAUUCUGAAGGUAAUGUCACGGUUAUAAGGUAUUAACAUAUAGCUUUUUCUCCCUGCUUAAAGUGCUUUACAACCCGAAGGCCUUC
Molecule: ribosomal RNA, 458 nt
Filed under: uncultured Gammaproteobacteria bacterium
Lineage: Bacteria; Pseudomonadati; Pseudomonadota; Gammaproteobacteria
Description: partial 16S ribosomal RNA
Source: RNAcentral